Molecule: ribosomal RNA, 579 nt
Filed under: uncultured Gram-positive bacterium
Lineage: Bacteria
Description: bacterial SSU rRNA
Rfam family: Bacterial small subunit ribosomal RNA
Source: RNAcentral
UGGGCCCGCGUUUUCAUUAGCUAGUUGGUGAGGUAACGGCUCACCAAGGCGACGAUGGGUAGCCGGCCUGAGAGGGUGAACGGCCACAUUGGAACUGAGACACGGUCUAGACUCCUACGGGAGGCAGCAGUGGGGAAUAUUGCACAAUGGGGGGAACCCUGAUGCGGCGAUGCCGCGUGAGCGAAGAAGGCUUUCGAGUCGUAAAGCUCUGUCCUAAGGGAAGAAAAAAAUGACGGUACCUUAGGAGGAAGUCCCGGCUAACUACGUGCCAGCAGCCGCGGUAAUACGUAGGGGACGAGCGUUAUCCGGAAUUAUUGGGCGUAAAGGGUGCGUAGGCGGCUCUAUAAGUCAGAUGUCAAAGGCUUUGGCUCAACCGAAGUAAGCAUUUGAAACUGUAGAGCUUGAGUGCAGGAGAGGAGAGUGGAAUUCCUAGUGUAGCGGUGAAAUGCGUAGAUAUUAGGAGGAACACCAGUGGCGAAGGCGACUCUCUGGACUGCAACUGACGCUGAGGCACGAAAGCGUGGGGAGCAAACAGGAUUAGAUACCCUGGUAGUCCACGCCGUAAACGAUGAACACUAA